CCAGAUAUUAUUUAAUAUUGCUUAGCAUAAUUUUCUAAAUGGAGGAUUUUGUGUCUAAACUCAGAAAUGUGUGGAGACUCAUCACUGGUAGUGAUCUCACUGAAACAAAGACUCAACAUUCACGUGUUUCUGCAGAAGGAGCGACGCACAGACUUCAUUCAUAAGUAAAAUGGGGGGGUCUGAUGAAACUACAGGGAUGAGCUCAUCCUGCUGCUGUCCUACGUGACUUCAUCCCGCCGCAGUUCCCUCUCUCUGCACUGGGGGGCAGCAGCGCGCCGGUCAGCGGGACGGCUUUAUCUCCGGCACACAGGAGCAAACAAACACACUCAGGUGUUUGCUGCACACGUCCACCUGCAUGCAGGUGUAGGUGUUCUGCUGUCUGAGGCUGAACGCCUGAUGACGGCGCUGCGGGCCAGCCGCUAACAUGGAACUGGGAGAUUAGGUUGAACGCUCACGGUCUCACGCCAACAGAAACCGACCGAGGGAGGGGGGCAAAAGGAGAGAAACAGAAGAACUCCUUCCAUCAUGAAGAGGCAUGAGCGCUGCAUUCUAAGAUGAUCCUCCCGCCGUCAUGAAAUUUCCCCCCAGCCAAAACAGACACCUCCACCCAUGAGGGGGUUACCCCCCCCCAUACACACAACUGCAGCAUCGAAGGAUGCAGACUUUCAUUACACCCCACCCCCAAAACGCAUAGCUUGAAUCAAUGACCCCCCCCAACCAUUAGCUUAGCAUAUUAUUGGCUCUUCUCCGGGCUCUGGGGUGAAGGGCACCGGGGGCCCCUGUUUAGCUUUAUUUAUGCAAGCAGCUUAAUUACACGGCGCCACUGCUGCACACAACGGGUCCCGGCACGCACGGCUGUGUGCCGCCAUGUUGGGAGGAGAGGGGGGAGGAGGAAACACUAUAAUAAGACACACUUGCUGCAAUUAAGCUAUUUACACAGCAACAAUGGAGGACCCCCCCCCACCACCACCACCACCAGCAAGACUUAAGACCAGAAGAGGAUGUAAGGGGAGAGGGGGGGCGGCAUCUCUUUCAUGGUCCAGAACCAAACAGAACCCGUUUCACGCUCGCUGAAUCCUGACUUUACAGCAGCAGACCCUAUGGCAAGCCAAAGGGGUCAGUAAUCACCAGGAACAGCGCGGUAAAAAUGCUGUAUUGGCCAUGAAAAACGCUGCUUUCAGUGCAUGUUUUAAAAGUAACACGUAAAAUACAGUCUUGUGUGGCCCCAAAACGGGCACAAAAAGCGGCGUUUUUUCGCGUAUGACCUUGGGUCAAGAUAAUACAAUCAAGAUAAUACUGUUGCUAAAAGUCAUCAAAAGAAAAUUAAAACAUGAAUAAGCUGCAGAAUAUUGCCGCUUCUACACAUGCGGAAAAAAGUUAAUGUCUCAAGGCUGUAGCCACUGUAUUCACGCAAAACGGCGUAUUUGACGCAAGUAUGUGACACAACAGACAGACGGUUUAUACGUGGGACACCACAAGACGCCAUCAUUUAUGUGCUACUUUUAAAACGUCUGCCAAAAGCGGCGUUUUUCAUGGCCAAUACGCAGUUUUUUACUGCGGUUUUCCUGGUGAUUUUUGACCCCUUUGGCUUGCCACACAGCUUGUCACUUCCUGUUCUCAUACAGGUAUCAAAAAACUGUAGCAGAAACUGAUACCUUCACUGUGUGAACAUGCAGAGUGCAGGAAGACACCAGAGACGUCGCCGGCUACACCUACGUGACAUACAUCACAUGCGCUCAAUGAACUACCAUAACUCUUCAGCUAAAUCAGCUGAUUCUGACGCGGAGAAAACUUGGCUUUUAUCGUGGCUGACGAAGCUAACGCUUCUAUCUUGACUAACACAGCAACACUUUUAAUGUGGCUAACACUUCUAACACGGCUAAUGCUUCUAACGUAGCUUUUGCAGCUAACAUUUCUAUUGUGGCUAACUCAGCUAACUCUUCUAAGGUGGCUUUUGGAGCUAAAGCUCUUAAUGUGGCUAAUGCUUCUAUCGUUGCUAACGCAGCUAAUGCUUCUAAUGUGGCUAACGCAGCUAAUGCUUCUAAUGUGGCUAACAAAGCUAAUGCUUCUAUCUUGGCUA
Molecule: long non-coding RNA, 2080 nt
Organism: Oryzias melastigma (Indian medaka)
Lineage: Eukaryota; Metazoa; Chordata; Actinopteri; Beloniformes; Adrianichthyidae
Exons: 2
Source: RefSeq, a predicted model, not a curated record